UGGUGAAGCUUCCUCCACCAUUAUCAAGGGAGGCACUCGGCUGCAUUGUGGGUGAGAUACCUUAGACGCCUGUCGUCAAAGGUGUGGUGUGAGGGUGGGUUAGAUGCCCA
Non-coding RNA from Bacillus sp. HMSC76G11, 110 nucleotides. NCBI's taxonomy places the organism in Bacteria, Bacillati, Bacillota, Bacilli, Caryophanales, Bacillaceae. The record is from Rfam.